RNAcentral lists this long non-coding RNA (236 nucleotides) under Elaeis guineensis (African oil palm). RNAcentral's name for it is "long non-coding RNA (EGUI_LNC075515)". The record is from RNAcentral. Lineage: Eukaryota; Viridiplantae; Streptophyta; Magnoliopsida; Arecales; Arecaceae.
UGGGUAUAAGUGUCUCUCCGAUCUGAGAUCACCACAGUGACUUGCAAGCAACUCACUGUACUUUGAUAUCGGACUAACUGAGUUUUUAAUUCAGUGAUAAAAAAUUUUUAGAUAUAGUCAAAUAUUUGUCAAGUCGAUGCGUGAGUUAAGAUGGGAUUGACCCUUCCAAAUUAGUAGGAGAUAUGCAUCGAUGUAUUUCAAUUUAGCAAAAUCUGAGCCUGGAUAAUUCAUGUGAU